RNAcentral lists this ribosomal RNA (484 nucleotides) under uncultured bacterium. Its description in RNAcentral is "partial 16S ribosomal RNA". It matches the Rfam family "Bacterial small subunit ribosomal RNA", at positions 30 to 507 of the family's 1533-position model. The record is from RNAcentral.
AUUGAACGCUGGCUGUAGGCUUAACACAUGCAAGUCGAGCGGCAGAAGGUAGCUAGCUCGCUGUUUCAGCCGCCGACGGGCGAGCAAUUCCUAAGAACCUGCCUGGCAUGCGGGUAUAACGUCCGUAAACGAGCGCUAAUACCGCUUAUGCCCUGUGUAUGCAAGUGAUGGAUCUUCGGACCGCAUGCUAUUAUAUCAGCUUGGGUCGGAUUUGCUAGUUGGUGGGGUAUAGGCCUACUAAGGCGACGAUACGUAACGGGUCUGAGAGGAUGAUCAGGCACACUGGAACGGAGACACGGUCCAGACCACAACGGGAGGGGGCAGUGGGGAAUGUUGGACUAUGGGAGGAAGCCUGGUCCGGCCAUGCCGCGUAUGUGAAAGAAGUCUUCGGAUUGUAAAUCUAUUUUAGUUGGGAGGAAGGGCAGUGAGUUGAUACCGUGCUGUUUUGACGGUACCAAAAGAAUAAGCACCGGCUAACUUCGUG